RNAcentral lists this long non-coding RNA (747 nucleotides) under Anas platyrhynchos platyrhynchos (common mallard). RNAcentral's name for it is "lncRNA (ENSAPLG00000026586.1)". Lineage: Eukaryota; Metazoa; Chordata; Aves; Anseriformes; Anatidae. The record is from RNAcentral.
ACUGUGUGCAAAAUACCGCUGUGCAACAGAAAUUUUAAAGGAGGCUGAUACAGCUCCUGGAUCAUGUUAUGGAGGCUAGGCCUCUUCCAAUAAAUAUUUACAUAAAUUCUGUGGGAGAUUCCUGCAUUCAUGAAGUUGUGUGCAUUUAUGUGUGUCGGGCAUGAGCACUUAACGGCAUUUGUUUCCAUGUUGGUGAAGCUACUAUAUGUUCAAUGAGACAAAUGUACUUUAGUCUUAUCUUACAUACUUGGUACCUAUUUCAGCUUCAGACUUCCAGAGUUUGCCUCAUACAAGGGGGGAUAAUUCAGUGUGAUUUUUAUUUUUAUUUUCCCCAGAUUUGCUAGGAGGCACAGGUCAUGCUGAUCUGACUGGGCAUGCUGUAUUUAUGUACCUGGAAGUCUGUAGGUCCCUGCUGGCCUCAACUUGUGCACAUGUGGUUUGCAUGCCCAGUCCAGCACUGUACAGCAAAAGCUAAGCUUACGUACCCUAACUUAUCCUGCAGUUUGGAGCAUCGGCUUUGGAGCAUCCUUCGUUGUGUGAUGAGGAUCUUCAUCCCAGGCCCCAACUAAUAUCACAAUUGCACUCUUUUUUAAACAGCUAUUGUAUUCUAUUGUAUUGACAGAAAAAGUACAAAGAUGCUGUUUGCAGUUCUAAGUUACCAGCUUUUUGUUUACAGUAUUGCUUUUGUCACAGAAAAAAAAAUACAAAUAUUUUUCUUUAUUGAGGGAUUACCAUCUUGUAAUGUUA